RNAcentral lists this ribosomal RNA (400 nucleotides) under uncultured bacterium. RNAcentral's name for it is "bacterial SSU rRNA". It matches the Rfam family "Bacterial small subunit ribosomal RNA", at positions 29 to 458 of the family's 1533-position model. The record is from RNAcentral.
AACGAACGCUGGCGGCAUGCCUAACACAUGCAAGUCGAACGAGACCUUCGGGUCUAGUGGCGCACGGGUGCGUAACGCGUGGGAACCUGCCUUUAGGUUCGGAAUAACUCAGAGAAAUUUGAGCUAAUACCGGAUAAUGUCUUCGGACCAAAGAUUUAUCGCCUUUAGAUGGGCCCGCGUUGGAUUAGCUAGUUGGUGGGGUAAAGGCCUACCAAGGCGACGAUCCAUAGCUGGUCUGAGAGGAUGAUCAGCCACACUGGGACUGAGACACGGCCCAGACUCCUACGGGAGGCAGCAGUGGGGAAUAUUGGACAAUGGGCGCAAGCCUGAUCCAGCAAUGCCGCGUGCAGGAUGAAGGCCUCGGUUGUAACUAGCUUUGUUACGGUAACGAAACGGUAGA